This is a long non-coding RNA of Papaver somniferum (opium poppy), 2638 nucleotides long. RefSeq lists it as uncharacterized. The transcript is spliced from 7 exons. The record is from RefSeq and is a predicted model, not a curated record. Lineage: Eukaryota; Viridiplantae; Streptophyta; Magnoliopsida; Ranunculales; Papaveraceae.
ACUUAUCCCUUCUCUAUCCUAUUUUCAUUCUCUCUUUUCGGCCGCAAGAAGAAGAAAAAGAAGAGGACGAAGAGAUAAGAGCAGUAGAUGGCGGUGAAGCAAAAGAUAUUGGUGCACAGAUCGCACCUAUCGUUAAACUUGAAGAAGUUUACAACUGAAAAGAGAAACUAUACCGAUUUGAUAAAGAUGAAAAUCAAUAGAAAGAGGAGUUGAAACUUUGAAGAUUCUUAAACAUAAAUAGACUGAGAAAGUUGGGUUGGUUAUGAGACAAUCUAAGCCAUUCAAGUUCUGUGCUAAUCAUCUAGGUUUGUUGUUUUCUGUUUCCGAAUUGAUUUUGGUUCUAUUUGAGGUGUUGAUUUGAUUUGUGAGAUUUGUUUAGUGUUUUUUUUGUUGUUGAGAUUUUUCGCAAUAGGGUUAUCAUUCAAGUUCAGAAGAAGAAGGAAAGGAUUGUGUGAAAUCUGAACCCUAAAUUCCCAAUUUUAGGGUUCUUUUUUAUAUGAAGCUCCAAAUGAUUAGAUCUUGAUAUCUUCAUAUGAUGGUGUUUAACAGAGAUUUUGGUUUUGGAACGGAUGUGAAGCUUCCACUAGUAAUGGAGGGAUCGAUUAUGAUCAAAUUACUGCCGAAGUGGAACAAAGGCUAUGAGGAGUUCGCACAAUUUAGCAUUUGGGUCAGGGUAUCUUCCACUAAAGUUGUUUUUUGAUUAUGUACUUACAUUUUGCGGGAGAUUUAAGCAGACAGUCUAGAUAGACUAGUCCUUGGUGUUAUAACUUUAUUGUUGACAAUGCAUGGUGUCUUUGAUGUUGUGUUCUUUUACUGCCUCAGAGGCAUUAACCAUGGAAUUGUUGUUGCUAGGAUGGAUGCUAAACCUUAAGUUGAUUAAAUUACUUUCUUAUGUUUGGGUGAAUCCAGAUCCUGGUUUGAAAACCAGGGAAAGUAGAUGAUGCUCCAGAGUGCGAUAAGUUCUCUAAGUAUUACUGCGAUUUUUCCCCGGAGAAUGGGUAUGUACUGCUAAGAUUUUAUAAUCUCAUUUUCCUUAUCCUUCUUUUGAGCUGAUGGGAUUUUGGGGAUUGUUGAAGAAGAAUUCCAGGCAUAGAUGAAUGUUAGGACAUGGAUGCAGCUGCAAUUUGUUGGUGGUGGUUUUGAGCUUACCUAAAUCAUAAAUCCGUGUGAAUGUUAGCCUGCAGCAUAAUUCAAUGAAGGAUAAAUAUCAUAAAUUCGUAUGGUUAGGAACUUACUUAGGCUAUAAGUAGGUGUUCUUAUGUAUGUAGGCUGAACCGAAUCAUUAUGAAGUUUAGGAAUACUAAAUUAAAAUUACUUGUUUGGCCUUUAUAAAUUACUAAUUGCAGUAAUAAAAUGAUUUUUCUGGCACUUUGAUGUGUAUGUCUGUUUGAAAUUAUAACAUUACUAGGUAUCAUGCAAUACGGUGAUGCCAUCCUCUAUUUUGUCGAGUCACCUGCACUUGCGUCCCCUGGGGUUGGCAGGGUAGGAAAAUACAAUCUUCCACUUUGUUUGUUUUUUCCCUUCCCUUGAACUUUGUCUGGCUGGUCUUUUUAUCUCUUAUUUCGUUAUAGUUUCUGAAGGUACUCUUUAUCAUGGUUUGCAUUUUACUAAAGAUUUCACUACUGUGAAAGGAUAUAGUUAUGUUGAUUGAUUGGGUUGAUAACCAGCUCUAGCAGGAAGGUGACUUUUUGGUCUGUAGAGGUGUAUCUAUGCAGCUUAGGCAAAUAAAGCCUGCACUUUCUUCAUUACAUUCUGUAUAAUUUAAAGAUGGUCUAAAAUCCUUAUUGUUGUCUGAAGGAUUGAUUAUAAUAAAAUUACUGCCGAAGUGGAACAAAGGCUAUGAGGAGUUUGCACUAUAUGGCCAUGUGCGUCAAGGUAUCUCCAACAAUCCAUGUGAAAGAUGAAGAUGUUAUUUGUCUCUUGUUCUAAAGGGCUAUUGCUCUUUGUAAACCAAUGAAUUCAUCUACAACUUGAACUCGCUGCGUCUUUUGAUGUUACUGUCAGUUCAGAAUUGAUUCGGACCUUCAAGGGAACGGAGGUUUUUGCAAGCAUUUCAUCUUCUUCAACUAACAAAGAAACUACUUCUGUUGGAGUCACCCUUCAGCUCGUAUCAGCUCUGACACCUCAGAUAGGGAUGCAAUUCAAGCUGCCUCAAGUUUUGAAAAUAGGAACCAUCUCCCAGAACGUUUACUAGAUCAGAUGCUUUCCCAUCUUUGUUUGAAGUUCAGAACUGACUCCGAAGGGUUGCAUCAGCAAGAGACUCUUGAAUCCCUCCCUAAAGCCAUCCGUUCGAGCAUUUCACAUUUUCUCUUCUAUAAUCUCGUUAAUAAGGCGUACUUGUUCCGCAUGACCUUCUUUUCCAGUUAGACUAUUCAAGGGUUUCGAUGUGUUAUCAUUUUGCAGGCUCUAACUGAAGGCUAAUGUCACCACAAACGAAACAACCUCAGAAACACAAUCCAGAAAUCGUCGUGAAUGAAGAGAUGGGAUGGAAGAACUUAAAUUUGAUUGGAGCAGCAUAGGCAGGUACUUCAUGUAUUUGUCUUUUAGUUACUUUUUUUUUUCCUUAGAGACAUUUAACAAUGUAGAGUUCAUUUCCUUCAAAACAUUUUAUAAGAUUUUAUCUUCUUUUUUUCUGAAA